CCUACGGGUGGCUGCAGUGGGGAAUAUUGGGCAAUGGGCGCAAGCCUGACCCAGCAACGCCGCGUGAAGGAAGAAGGCUUUCGGGUUGUAAACUUCUUUUCUCAGGGACGAAGCAAGUGACGGUACCUGAGGAAUAAGCCACGGCUAACUACGUGCCAGCAGUCGCGGUAAUACGUAGGUGGCAAGCGUUAGCCGGAUUUACUGGGUGUAAAGGGCGUGUAGGCGGGAAUGCAAGUCAGAUGUGAAAGUUAUGGGCUCAACCCAUAGCCUGCAUUUGAAACUGUAUUUCUUGAGUGCUGGAGAGGCAGGCGGAAUUCCGGGUGUAGCGGUGAAAUGCGUAGAUAUACGGAGGAACACCAGUGGCGAAGGCAGAUUGCUAAACAGCAACUGACGCUGAGGCGCGAAAGCGUGGGGAGCAAACAGGAUUAGAUACCCUUGUAGUC
This 443-nucleotide ribosomal RNA is filed under the name uncultured bacterium. RNAcentral describes it as "partial 16S ribosomal RNA". It matches the Rfam family "Bacterial small subunit ribosomal RNA", at positions 338 to 795 of the family's 1533-position model. The record is from RNAcentral.